Molecule: ribosomal RNA, 404 nt
Filed under: Actinomycetes bacterium
Lineage: Bacteria; Bacillati; Actinomycetota; Actinomycetes
Description: Actinobacteria bacterium partial 16S ribosomal RNA
Rfam family: Bacterial small subunit ribosomal RNA
Source: RNAcentral
UGGGGAAUAUUGGACAAUGGGCGCAAGCCUGAUCCAGCCAUGCCGCGUGAGUGAUGAAGGCCCUAGGGUUGUAAAGCUCUUUCACCGGUGAAGAUAAUGACGGUAACCGGAGAAGAAGCCCCGGCUAACUUCGUGCCAGCAGCCGCGGUAAUACGAAGGGGGCUAGCGUUGUUCGGAUUUACUGGGCGUAAAGCGCACGUAGGCGGACUUUUAAGUCAGGGGUGAAAUCCCGGGGCUCAACCCCGGAACUGCCUUUGAUACUGGAAGUCUUGAGUAUGGUAGAGGUGGGUGGAAUUCCGAGUGUAGAGGUGAAAUUCGGAGAUAUUCGGAGGAACACCAGUGGCGAAGGCGGCUCACUGGACCAUUACUGACGCUGGGGUGCGAAAGCGUGGGGAGCAAACAGG